Molecule: ribosomal RNA, 408 nt
Filed under: uncultured prokaryote
Description: bacterial SSU rRNA
Rfam family: Bacterial small subunit ribosomal RNA
Source: RNAcentral
UGGGGAAUAUUGGGCAAUGGGGGGAACCCUGACCCAGCAACGCCGCGUGAAGGAAGAAGGUUUUCGGAUUGUAAACUUCUGUCCUUGGUGAAGAGGAAGAGACGGUAGCCAAGGAGGAAGCCCCGGCUAACUACGUGCCAGCAGCCGCGGUCAUACGUAGGAUCCAAGCGUUAUCCGGAGUGACUGGGCGUAAAGAGUUGCGUAGGCGGUAUGUUAAGCAGAUAGUGAAAUCAUGUGGCUCAACCAUAAUGGCUAUUAUCUGAACUGGCAUACUCGAGAGUAGUAGAGGUACCUGGAAUUUCUAGUGUAGGGGUGAAAUCCGUAGAUAUUAGAAGGAACACCAAUGGCGUAGGCAGGGUACUAGACUAUUUCUGACGCUAAGGCACGAAAGCGUGGGGAGCGAACCGG